GAGUUUGAUCCUGGCUCAGAACGAACGCUGGCGGCAGGCCUAACACAUGCAAGUCGAGCGCGCCUUUCGGGGUGAGCGGCGGACGGGUUAGUAACGCGUGGGAAUAUGCCCUUUGGUACGGAAUAGCCUCUGGAAACGGAGAGUAAUACCGUAUGAGCCCUUCGGGGGAAAGAUUUAUCGCCAAAGGAUUAGCCCGCGUUAGAUUAGGUAGUUGGUGGGGUAAUGGCCUACCAAGCCUACGAUCUAUAGCUGGUUUUAGAGGAUGAUCAGCAACACUGGGACUGAGACACGGCCCAGACUCCUACGGGAGGCAGCAGUGGGGAAUCUUGGACAAUGGGGGCAACCCUGAUCCAGCCAUGCCGCGUGAGUGAUGAAGGCCUUAGGGUCGUAAAGCUCUUUCGCCUGUGAAGAUAAUGACGGUAGCAGGUAAAGAAACCCCGGCUAACUCCGUGCCAGCAGCCGCGGUAAUACGGAGGGGGUUAGCGUUGUUCGGAAUUACUGGGCGUAAAGCGCACGUAGGCGGAUCGGAAAGUUGGGGGUGAAAUCCCGGGGCUCAACCCCGGAACUGCCUCCAAAACUAUCGGUCUAGAGUUCGAGAGAGGUGAGUGGAAUUCCGAGUGUAGAGGUGAAAUUCGUAGAUAUUCGGAGGAACACCAGUGGCGAAGGCGGCUCACUGGCUCGAUACUGACGCUGAGGUGCGAAAGUGUGGGGAGCAAACAGGAUUAGAUACCCUGGUAGUC
Molecule: ribosomal RNA, 740 nt
Filed under: uncultured marine bacterium
Lineage: Bacteria
Description: bacterial SSU rRNA
Rfam family: Bacterial small subunit ribosomal RNA
Source: RNAcentral